AUAGAGAUUUUUUUUUAAACUUAUCUUCUAAAAAAAUACACUUACAAAAGAAACUUAAAUCCCUUUAUAUAGGGAAGCAAAUACUUACUAUUUAAGGCGGUAACAUCCACCUACAAUAGUAGGUGAACUACUAAAUAUUAAUAAAAAACAAAAAAACUUUUACAAAAGAAAAUUAAGUGCAUACAGUUAUGCUUAAAGACAAGAGAUUCUUAUUCCCUUAAGAUAAGAAGAUAAGAUUCUUUCUUAUCUUUUGCUUUUGGCAACUUUUGCUUUUGACAAGAUUCUUAUUCCAUUAACCUUGUCUUUUGCUUUUGACAAGAUUCUUAUUCCAUUAACCUUAUCUUUUGCUUUUGUUUAUUGAUUCUUUUUCAUUAUGGCAAACAAGAUAUGAUUCUUUCUUAUCUUCAGCCUUUGAUUAUUGAUUCUUAUUUUUUGCUUUCUCUUUUGCUUUAUGAGCCAUGGAUUAAAUCAUUGCGUCCCAUAAAUCCUCUGCAGUUGGGCCCUCCGCUUGGGCUUCUCCUGCCAAACAAUCAAAGUUGUGGGAAUCAAUUGAUCCUAGGAAGAGCUGGUAUUCAUAGAUGAAUCCUCAUCUUUUAAUGCUUUUGCUGAAAAAGUGUAGAAAAAUUGGUUUUUCAUAUGGUCCAAAGUUCUAACCAUGAUUUCAUCUUCUGAUUCAUUUGGAUAUUUUCUCUGGAAGAAGUUCUUCAGAUUUCCCAUAGACAUUUGUUGGGAGUUUUGCUCUUUGACCUUAUUACUUUUGUCUUUAGCUAUAGCUGUUUGAAUUAAAUUUCCUAUUUUCUGGACUUCUUCGGAACUCAUUUUGUUCCACCAUUUAUAGAAGAAAUUUCUUUCUAAAA
This 857-nucleotide long non-coding RNA is filed under the name Lathyrus oleraceus (garden pea). RNAcentral describes it as "Pisum sativum (pea) long non-coding RNA (PSAT_LNC010469)". The record is from RNAcentral. Lineage: Eukaryota; Viridiplantae; Streptophyta; Magnoliopsida; Fabales; Fabaceae.